This 464-nucleotide ribosomal RNA is filed under the name uncultured soil bacterium. RNAcentral's name for it is "bacterial SSU rRNA". It matches the Rfam family "Bacterial small subunit ribosomal RNA", at positions 26 to 505 of the family's 1533-position model. The record is from RNAcentral.
AGGACGAACGCUGGCGGCGUGCUUAACACAUGCAAGUCGAGCGGAAAGGCCAUUUCGGUGGUACUCGAGCGGCGAACGGGUGAGUAACACGUGAGUAAUCUGCCCCUGGCUUUGGGAUAGCCACCGGAAACGGUGAUUAAUACCGGAUACGACCCGCCCUCGCAUGGGGGUGUGUGGAAAGUUUUUCGGCCAGGGAUGUGCUCGCGGCCUAUCAGCUUGAUGGUGGGUAAUGGCUCACCAUGGCUUCGGACGGGUAGCCGGCCUGAGGAGGGUGACCGGUCACGACUGGGACUGAGACGACGGCCCAGACCUCCUACGGGAGGCCAGCAGGUGGGAAUAUUGGACAAGUGGGCGGAAGCCUGACUCCAGCAACGCCGCGUGAGGAUGACGGUCUUCGGUGUAAACCUCUUCAGUACCGACGAAGCGGAAGUGACGGUAGACAGAAGAGACACCGCCAACGUACG